Molecule: ribosomal RNA, 497 nt
Filed under: uncultured bacterium
Lineage: Bacteria
Description: partial 16S ribosomal RNA
Rfam family: Bacterial small subunit ribosomal RNA
Source: RNAcentral
GAUGAACGCUGGCGGCGUGCCUAAUACAUGCAAGUCGAGCGAACAGACGAGGAGCUUGCUCCUCUGACGUUAGCGGCGGACGGGUGAGUAACACGUGGAUAACCUACCUAUAAGACUGGGAUAACUUCGGGAAACCGGAGCUAAUACCGGAUAAUAUAUUGAACCGCAUGGUUCAAUAGUGAAAGACGGUUUUGCUGUCACUUAUAGAUGGAUCCGCGCCGCAUUAGCUAGUUGGUAAGGUAACGGCUUACCAAGGCAACGAUGCGUAGCCGACCUGAGAGGGUGAUCGGCCACACUGGAACUGAAACACGGUCCAGACUCCUACGGGAGGCAGCAGUAGGGAAUCUUCCGCAAUGGUCGAAAGCUUGACGGAGCAACGCCGCGUGAGUGAUGAAGGUCUUCGGAUCGUAAAACUCUGUUAUUAGGGAAGAACAAAUGUGUAAGUAACUAUGCACGUCUUGACGGUACCUAAUCAGAAAGCCACGGCUAACUACGUG